This 501-nucleotide ribosomal RNA is filed under the name uncultured Actinomycetes bacterium. RNAcentral describes it as "bacterial SSU rRNA". It matches the Rfam family "Bacterial small subunit ribosomal RNA", at positions 355 to 866 of the family's 1533-position model. The record is from RNAcentral. Lineage: Bacteria; Bacillati; Actinomycetota; Actinomycetes.
UGGGGAAUAUUGGACAAUGGGCGAAAGCCUGAUCCAGCAACGCCGCGUGAGGGAUGACGGCCUUCGGGUUGUAAACCUCUUUCAGCAGGGACGAAGCGCAAGUGACGGUACCUGCAGAAGAAGCACCGGCCAACUACGUGCCAGCAGCCGCGGUAAUACGUAGGGUGCGAGCGUUGUCCGGAAUUAUCGGGCGUAAAGGGCUCGUAGGCGGUUUGUCACGUCGGGAGUGAAAACUCGGGGCUUAACCCCGAGCCUGCUUCCGAUACGGGCUGACUAGAGGUAUGCAGGGGAGAACGGAAUUCCUGGUGUAGCGGUGAAAUGCGCAGAUAUCAGGAGGAACACCGGUGGCGAAGGCGGUUCUCUGGGCAUUACCUGACGCUGAGGAGCGAAAGUGUGGGGAGCGAACAGGAUUAGAUACCCUGGUAGUCCACACCGUAAACGUUGGGCGCUAGGUGUGGGACUCAUUCCACGAGUUCCGUGCCGCAGCUAACGCAUUAAGCG